ACUUCCCAUUUUUAUUAUUAAAGCCAUGUUCCAUAUCAUUUUCUUUACAUGUUACAGUUUCUGUAUUGGUUUCAGUCAGAGUUUCUCAUUUCCUUUAGAAAUAGCAAGUAAACAGGUGACGAGCAGAGAGUAGCCAUGAAGUCAUUUCUCAGCCUUGGUAUGGGGAAACCGGCCCCAUUGUUGGAAUCCCCAAAGCCUGCAAGUGGUAUCCUUCCACAUGGGGAAGAAGAUGCCCUUGCAAAUCUAUGGGUUGACAUUAUAAAAUCAGAGACUGCAUGUUGCAAGCUUAUCAGUGAAGUGAGAAAUUAUAGGGAUUCCAUCAAGGAAGUGCAAGAAGCAGAAGAAAAAUUGUUGAAAGUUUAAGAUUAGGGGCCUCGGGCCUUGGAGCAGUUUCUCCCCAACUGCAGCAAGCUAGUGAUGAGUAUCUCUCUGUUGUAAUGGA
This is a non-coding RNA of Penaeus vannamei (Pacific white shrimp), 442 nucleotides long. NCBI's taxonomy places the organism in Eukaryota, Metazoa, Arthropoda, Malacostraca, Decapoda, Penaeidae. The record is from RefSeq and is a predicted model, not a curated record.